Molecule: ribosomal RNA, 301 nt
Filed under: uncultured bacterium
Lineage: Bacteria
Description: partial 16S ribosomal RNA
Rfam family: Bacterial small subunit ribosomal RNA
Source: RNAcentral
CAGCCGCCGCGGGAAUACGUAGGUGGCAAGCGUUGUCCGGAAUUAUUGGGCGUAAAGGGCUCGCAGGCGGUUUCUUAAGUCUGAUGUGAAAGCCCCCGGCUCAACCGGGGAGGGUCAUUGGAAACUGGGAAACUUGAGUGCAGAAGAGGAGAGUGGAAUUCCACGUGUAGCGGUGAAAUGCGUAGAGAUGUGGAGGAACACCAGUGGCGAAGGCGACUCUCUGGUCUGUAACUGACGCUGAGGAGCGAAAGCGUGGGGAGCGAACAGGAUUAGAUACCCCAGUAGUCCCUGUCUCUUAUCC